RNAcentral lists this transfer RNA (74 nucleotides) under Candidatus Roizmanbacteria bacterium. Its description in RNAcentral is "tRNA-His". It matches the Rfam family "tRNA". Rfam says of the family: Transfer RNA (tRNA) molecules are approximately 80 nucleotides in length. The record is from RNAcentral. Lineage: Bacteria; Candidatus Roizmaniibacteriota.
UGCCCGGUCGGCUAACGGUAGGCCGCCUGACUAUGGAUCAGGUAAUCUUAGUUCGAAUCUAAGCUGGGCAGCCA